This 18904-nucleotide long non-coding RNA is filed under the name Triticum aestivum (bread wheat). Its description in RNAcentral is "long non-coding RNA (TAES_LNC008527)". The record is from RNAcentral. Lineage: Eukaryota; Viridiplantae; Streptophyta; Magnoliopsida; Poales; Poaceae.
CCCCACCCAUCCCAGCUUUCUUCCUCACAGGCGCCAUUGGCGACCGCCCAACGAGCACCUCCCCCCCACCCACCUUCUACCGCGGAGCGGCCCCGUGGGUUCCUCCCCAAUCACCACCCCAUCCUUGCGCCGGCCCGUGGGCAGCCGGAUCCAGUCCGCCGCGACGCCUCGCCGCUGGAUCGGGGACGGCACCGCCGCUCGCCGCUCGGCCACACGUCGCCCCCUGGCCGGCCUUCUUCCAGAGGCCCGACGACGCGCCGCCACAACAAGCCCUCCCCGCCACCUCCCUCCCUGUCUUCCUCAGCUGGACGUCGCCAUGGCGGGCGAUGCUCUGCUCUCCGCCCGCAGCCCCACCCCAUCCCUACCAGAUCGAGCCUCUCUUCUGCAGUUCGUGUCAUCCCGCGGAUCAGGAUUGAGCCCCGCAUCAACUACGGCCAUCUGGUCGUGCGGUGGUGCCGGCGACGAAUGCAUCGAGGAGGCCCAGAUCCACCACUGCCAGCUCCCUUCAAGCUCCCCUCUGUUUCCAUCCCCUACCUUCUACAUCGCCGACUAAAUCCAGGGCGGCCACCUUCCGGCGAGCACCCGAGGCACCCUAGCGUGACCUGAUCCGGAUACUUCGGCCUCCUUGCUGCACUAGCACCGGAUCGCCGGUCAGGCUCCAUCGGGCCGAGGGGAAAAGGAGGUCGGCGAGCUCGAGCCACUGCCGCCGGUGAGAUCCGUGGCGGCCGAUCCGGGGGAGGUCGCUAGGCACGACGACGAUGUUCCCCUCCCUCGCCCUUUUGAAUUCCAACCGAAUUGAGGUCGGCGUGGCCUCGCUGCGUCUGUGGCCUCCGCAUCCUCCCGGCGGUGCGGACGGCUCAUGCAUACAGUGCGCUAGCUGUGCAUGUUCAGUGCGGGUACGCAGUUCCGGCACCAAUUUUUUUGUAUACUCUUUUUAGUUGGCUGGAUGUAUGUAUUUGUGAAGUUCUAUAUUUUCUGAAGAGAGGUUCACUCUCCGAGAAGGAGAAAAAAUGUGUGAUUCGAAUGUUUAAGUGUAUGUCUGAAGUUCACUAUAGUAUCUAGUGAAGUUUUAUAUUUUCUGAAGAGAGGUUCGCUCGCUGAGAAGGUGAGAAAAGUACAGAAAAAUCCCAGCAUGCACUUCUCUUCACCGAGUAAAAUAGAAAAAAAAACAUCUCCAAAAGAAGCUAGCUUCUUAUUAGAUGAAGUUCACACCUCAGUUCCUGCGGUCCACUUGCCUAGAAUACACGCCUAACAAAAGUAUGAAAAAAGACAACAAAAACUCAUGAGGUUCACUUUUGGUAGUAUUGCGGUUCACUUUCGGAACUGUUGCGGUCGACUCUCGUUCAUAAAAAUGUUAAAAAAAGACAACAAAAACUCGUCUGAGAAAAAUUACGUCCGACGAAAAGAAAUUAUGCAGCUCGCUUGCCCGUUCGAUGCAGUGCGAUUUUCAUUUCGAAGCAGUGCGGUCGGCCGUGUGAUGUUCAUCCCGUAAGUGCAAAAAAAUUGUUACGGAAGCGAAAAAAAGUAAUGCGGUUUACUUCUUGUUAGUGUUUUGGUUCAUUUACACCCGAUGUGAAGUGCACUCUACUUUCUCGUCCUUAAACAAAUUACGUUUGAAUAAAAGAAACCAUGCAGUUCUCUUACCCGUCUGAUGCAGUGCGGUUUUUCUGUCCUAUGCAGUGCGGUUUUCAGUCGGAUGAAGUACCCACGUCGAUUUGGGUGUCGCGAAAAACAGAGUGUCCGCAUUUCGGUAAAUUCGAAAUUCCUCUUAAACCGUAAAGAAUUAGAGAGAGUGUUCUACAUGAAAAAGUUGCGCCUCGUCGAUAUCUUUCCAACGGCGUAUCGUUUGAAUCAUUCCGACCAGCGGUUUGUAAAAAUUUCCCGAAAAACGACCGCUGCCACUCGUCGUCCACCGCACGAUUUUCAAAAUUAACUUAAAACCGUAAGGAAUGUCAAAAACAUUUCAACAUAUGAAAGUUGCGCCUCGUCCGUAGGUUUUCAACGAUAUAUUACACGCCUCGUUUCGAUAAACGGUUAGAAAACUGGAGCGAAAACAUUACCGAAAAUUUGAAAAAAUUGAAUUUUUUUGAAAAACAGAAUUCCGCGAUUUAGUAAAUUUGAAGCUGCUCUUAAACCGUAACCAACUAGAGAAAAUAAUAGAUAUGUAAAAGAUGCGUCUCGACGAUAUCUAUCCAACGGUGUAUCAUUUGCCUCAUUCCAACGAGCGGUUUAGAAAAAAACAUAAAAAAUGCUCGCUGCCACUAUUUGUGGUCCGCACCGUUUUUGAAACUGCUCUUAAACCGCGGGGAAUCUCGAAAAGUGUUCAACAUGGCGAAGUUGCGCCUAAUCCGUAGCUUUCCAACGGUAUAUUACACGCCUCGUUCCGAUAAACGGUUAAAAAUUAAAGCAAAAACAGUACCGAAAAAACACUACGCGCAGUUUUUUCCGACGCGAAGUUCACUAGUCUCUGUAAUGCAGUGCUCUUGCUAAAGAAAGUGCAGUGCCCUCGCGUUGAGCAUGCAGUGCGGAAGUGUUAUCAGAAUAGACGGGCUGUAUAUACAACCGGUCUAUUCUGCUAAUAUUAGCAGAAUAACUAUUCUGAUAACACUUCCGCACUACACGCUCAAUGCAAGUGCACGUCAUUGUUUGAACCAAGUGUGUUGCAGUACUGAGGCGAGUGAAUUUCCUGUGGCAAAAAACUGCACGCAGUGUUUUUUCUGGUACUGUUUUCGCUCUAGUUUUUUAACCAUUUGUCGGAACGAGGCGUGUAAUAUACCGUUGAAAAGCUAUGGAUUAGGCGCAACUUCGCGAUGUUGAACACUUUUCGAGAUUCCUCACGGUUUAAGAGCAGUUUUGAAAAUGGUGCGGCCCACAACGAGUGGCAGCGAGCGUUUUUUCGCAUUUUUUUCUAAACCACUCGUAGGAAUGAAGCAAACGAUACACCGUUGGAUAGAUAUCGUCGAGGCACAUCUUUUUCAUAUCUAUUUCUUUCUCUAAUUCAUUACGGUUUAAAAGCAGUUUCAAAUUUACUAAAUCGCGGAAUUCUGUAUUUUAAAAUUUUUCAAAAUUUCGGUACUGUUUUCGCUCCAGUUUUUUAACCGUUUGUCGAAACGAGGCGUGUAAUAUAUCGUUGAAAAGUUAUGGACGAGGUGCAACUUUCAUAUGUUGAAAUGGUUUUGAGAUUCCUAACGGUUUUAAGUUAAUUUUGAAAAUCAUGCGGCGGACGACGAGUGGCAGUGGCCGUUGUUCGCGAAAUUUUUACAAACCGUUGGUCGGAAUGAUUCAAAUGAUACGCCGUUGGAAAGAUAUCGACGAGGCGCAAAUUUUUCAUGUAGAAUACUCUCUCUAAUUCUUUACGGUUUAAGAGGAAUUUUGAAUUUACCGAAAUGCGGACACUCUGUUUUUCGCGACACCAAAAUCGACAUGGGUACUUCAUCUGACUGAAAACCAAACUACAUCGGACGACAAACCGCACUGCAUCAGACGAGUAAGAGAACUGCAUGGUUUCUUUUAUUCAAACGUAAUUUUUUCAAGGACGACAAAGUAGAGUGCACUUCACAUCGGGUGUAAAUGAACCACAACACUAUCAAGAAGUGAACCGCAUUACUUUUUUUCGCUUCCGUAACAAAAAAUUUGCACUUAUCGGAUGAACAACAUCAUACGGUCGACUGCACUGCUUCAGAAUGAAAACCGCACUGCAUCGGACGGGCAAGCGAGCUGCAUAAUUUCUUUUGCUGGACGUUAUUUUUUCUCAUACGAGUUUUUGUUGUCCUUUUUUCAACAAUUUUUAUGAAUGAGAGUGGACCGCAGAGAUGAGGGCAAAUGAACCGCGGCAUAUGUCGAAGUGAACCUCAUUGCUAUCUUGUUGUUUCGUUUAAAAAUGAUCACCAAGGUUUUUACAAAAGUGUAGACUACACAAACCACCAAGGUUUUUUAACAGUGAAAACUGCUUCAUGCUUUCAACAUUCUCUUUUUAGAAAACAGGUCAAAAAAUACAAAAAAACUUCAAACACGAGCCACGCGAGCGCAAGGAGUGCACCAACGGACUGCAUCUAUUUUAUAUACCUUUACUUUUUUUUCUCGCCCAUUCAAGAACAAAGUGAAAAUUUAAAAAAAUCAUCUUUCUUCUGUAGGUCCCUAGUGAACUGCAUGUCCAUGCCCGCACGACGGCCGAACCUUCACGCACCCGAGGGGAAGAAAAGCUCCAGGCGCACUUCAACACCGAGGCAAGCGAACCCCAUCGAGAAGCGGGGGCGAACUGCAUGUGCGUGGGCACACGGCCUUUGUCCUUGCAGUCGGCCGGUAGCAGCUCGUCGUCGAAUGCCCCGUUUGAUGCGUUCAAUUCCCUUCCGAAGACAGCGCAAGAUGGCACCACACAGCCGGCUUGCAUGCGCGUCCUUCCCCUCUUUGCGUUACAGUCUAAAGAAUCAAUCAAGAGAAAUAGAGAAUGAACUAUAACAAAGGAAGAGGGGGCUGGGGUCACACCAGGACUGCCUGGAUGGGUGUGCAGUUCGCAGUCGCCCGUCCUGCGUUUCACUAGCGCCACCGGGAAGGAGCUUUGAGGACAGAGGAGUGUUUUGCCAUGCACAGAGCACUGCAAACGCCGGCUCCAGCGAACUGCACAGCCGCAAGCAGGUGAACCUCACCGCGGCAUCAGCGAACCGCACGGCUGCAACCCGGCGAGCCGCACACGCCAAUCAGGGAACCACACGGCUGCAGUUUCGAGCUGACCGGCGACGCGGGCGAGGUCGUGGCGGAGAUGGGGUGAAGGGGGCGGGGCAAACUGCUUGGGGAUGUAGAAGAGAGCAGCAUCGCGCCGCCGAGAAAGACUGCAUGCACGCUCUUCACGAACUGCACACGCAGCUGUGGAUUGCAGGCCGUCGUCUCAUAGUCCGGUGGUCGGGGACGGCCGAAUCCGUGGCCGCUGGAGCUCUGUCGAACCACACAGAGGGGUGGAGGGGAGGUGAGGCAGGUGUCCCAUUGGCCGGACCCAGCGUCGGAAUCCAGCGCCCCCGGGACCGCCAUCACUGGAAGAUGGAGUCAGAGGCUGGCGGCAGGCGGCGGCACUCGACAGGUCGACGAGGAAAAGAACUGGGGAGGUGACACUCGAUUGCCGAGCGUGGAAAGGAGCUGGGGAGGCGGCUGGUGAGGGGCUCGCCGACGAGGAGCACGUCGGCUCAGCGUGGUGGAGGAGAUCCGGCUGGGCCUCCACGGGAUCCAGCGCGGGGGUUCAACAACGAUGUGCCGAUGCGGGGGCCAUGGCGGGGGAGGAGCCUGAAGAUGGGAAGGCUAGGGCGGGGUGGCACGCCCGAAUCCACGCCGGCAGCCGCGCGGGGCGCCUGGGGAGGCACUCCUGGAUCUAGGCCAGUCAGCAGGGAGCGGGGUGGAGGGCGAUGGCACUGGGGGAGGAAGGAGGUAGGGGGAAGUGGGGGAGACCGGAUCAAGUGCGUUCUCUCGAUGCAGGACCCUGGGAUCUCGACGACAGCUACCGGUUAAGGGAGAGGGAGCCCAUGGUGCAGAGGAAGUGGUGGUGGCCGUGAUGGGAUGUCGGUGGUGGCCGAGACAGGGCGGCGCGUGGUGGUGGNNNNNNNNNNNNNNNNNNNNNNNNNNNNNNNNNNNNNNNNNNNNNNNNNNNNNNNNNNNNNNNNNNNNNNNNNNNNNNNNNNNNNNNNNNNNNNNNNNNNNNNNNNNNNNNNNNNNNNNNNNNNNNNNNNNNNNNNNNNNNNNNNNNNNNNNNNNNNNNNNNNNNNNNNNNNNNNNNNNNNNNNNNNNNNNNNNNNNNNNNNNNNNNNNNNNNNNNNNNNNNNNNNNNNNNNNNNNNNNNNNNNNAAGGGGUGGCGUGGGUGUUGGCCGGGGUGGGGCUGCGGGUGGUGGUGGCCAGGGCGGGGCGGCGCGGGUGGUCGCUUGGGAGGUGGAGGAGGAAGGGGCGUCGAUGGGGGAGAAGGAGGUGGCGGGGAAGAUGAGGUCAAAGGGGCAGGGGCCAGCGAGGAGGUGUUACCAGAAUAAGGCGUAGUGUUAGCAGAAUAAGGGUCUUAAGGGGUGUUAUCAUAAUAGACCCACCAUAUAUAUAUAUUAUAUAUAUAUAUAUAUACAUCUGGGCUAUUCUGUUACGCGUAACAGAAUAUUAUUCUGUUACCCUACUUGAACUGAUGGUUUCAAGCGGUUGUACUGAUGAUUUCAAAGCGGUUGAACUGAUGCUUUCAGUUCUGUUUAACAGAUCGUUUUCUUUAGUUCAAUUUUUUUUUGCAAUUUUUUUGUUGAAACGGGGUGUGUAAUAUAUCGUUGGAAAGCUCUUGACAACUAUAUUUCAGGUAUAUUGAACGUUUUUGCAAAAUCAUUAUGGUUUAAGAGCAGUUUUGAAAAAACCGUUUUUUUAAACCGAAAACGUGAAUCGUAUUUUGGACUCAAUUUUCAAACGGUUUGUCGGAAUUGAGCAAAUAAGAUGGCGUUGAAAAGCUGGUGAAAAUCCGCAUCUUCCAUAUAUCUAUUGUCUUUUCUAAUUCUAUAUGAUUUAAAAGUAAUUUGGAAAACGGUGAAAUUCUGGGCGAAACGUAUUUUCACAAUUUUUUGCAAACGGUUUGUCGGAUGGACGCAAAUGAUACGGCGUUGAAAAGCUAUGGAAAAGCGCAACUUCUUCAUAUUGAAAUGUUUUUCUAAUUCCUUAUGGUUUAAAAAUGAAUUCGAAUACGGUCAAAUUUGAUUUCGAUCGCGUUUUUUUUAAAGUUUGCCGAAAUGAGGCAAAUAAUAUAUCUUUGGGAAGAUAUCGAAAAUACGAAACUUAGUCAUGUUGAACGUUUUCUCAAAUUCGCAACCGUUGAAGAGUAAUUUGGAUUAUGGUGAGACUAGAGUACUUGUACUGAUCUACGUGUGUGUUUGUACUGAUGUAUUUUUCAUAGAGUAAUUUUGAAAGGUUCCAAAAAAAGAGUACUUGAACGGAUGUCCAUAUGGAUUUGUACUGAGCAUGUUUUUGCAGACUUUACUCUGUUUUUUCUGUAUGGUUUUCCUCGUAACUUUUCAACGGUUCGGGAUAUCAUCGUCCCCGAACUUGUAUGGUUUAUACCGUUGAACUGAAUGACAUUUUUUUAAAAGAAAAUGUGUGUUGUGUUUUUUUUGACUAAUUUUUUUCAACGAUAUUCUGGACUUCUCUCAUUUUACGACUUGAACUUUUACUAUUUGAAUUUUCGUGGGGUUUCUUUUUUUUUAGCUUUUUUCCCAAACUUAUCUAGGACGUCGUGUUGAACUUGCAACUUUUUAAAUUGUGAACUUGUUGUGUUUUUACAAUUCCAAAGCUAGAAAAAAAUUCUAAAUUACUGACUCAUUUCAGGAUAUCAGAGAUAAAAAUUGCCAUCACCAAAAUCAAGCAUUAAUCCGAUCAAAGAGAUGAAAUACAUUGACUUAACUUCCAAAAGUAAUACAUGUUCUACGGCCGAUGUAAAGACAUGUAGAAGAACAUUUCUUAGCAAAAUGAACCAUAGACAGUCGGGAUAGUACAAAAUGAACUACCAGUACUGUAGAUAUUAGCAAAUUUGAACUUUUGUGUUUGUACUGACCGUUUUUUCAGGGAUGAGACGUCAUUUUUUUAACUCGCGUAAUAAAAUAGUGGACUUAUAUGUGAGGAUGUUUUGAACGGCCUCCUAUAAAGACAUUGACUUAUAGAACCGAACCUUUUUUGGGAUUACAAUUUUAGAUUUGUUUUCUCGUCCAAACUGACAACACCAUCAGGUCUGAAUUUGCAUGGUUUCACUAGUUGAACUGAUGGACGUUUUCUUUUUGUUUUGUUCAAACUCAAACAUUUUUUGCAAUGAAGGUAUGUACUUCCUUUUGUUUGCAACUUAAUUUUUUUCAUGAUUUUUGUAAUAAAUAUUUGUACUUCUUUUUGUUUUGUUCAAUAAAGAAAACAAUGAUCAUUUGAACUAAUUGAACAAUAACAUGUGAGCUUACAGUAAUUUAUCACUCGAACUUGUAGCAAUAGAUAUAAGAAAUUUGUACGGCCUCCACACCAUUGCAUUGGUGUACUCCGGCGCGAGGAACAAAUCCUGCCAUAUUUGAUACAUACACACGCAUCCUAGUUGACAUUUGUUCUGUGGAAUGUCGAUGCCAUUUAUUGAUUCCAAAAAAGAUAGCAAGAUGGCACAUGGAUUCAAGAUGUACUUAAACCGAAACAAUCCAUAUUUUCUGGUGAAAUUGCAGAGCAGCACAAUAAAGGUUACAUGUUUUCUGUAGUUGAGAGAAACAAGUUCAGAUUAUCAACAGUACACCCACCACGCCAAGUUCUUAACUGAACAUAUGCAUUUGUUUCAGAGAUGGUGUUACAUCCUGUGAUAUAAAUAAAAAUUACAGCAAAAUAAAAAACCUGCAAGAGAAGCAUUUUGCCAAACCAAAAGAUAAUUGAACCAUUGGAUCUUGAGCUGAUGUACUGCAUGCACUUCUUUGUUUGUACGGGAUGCAACUCUCUUUUGUGGUUCAUAUACUGAAGAUCCUUCAAUUCAGUUAUCAACACACCGUAGCAGUCAUGCUUGCCACCUAUCUUUUGGGUGCACUCCCUUGUCAUUUUCUAUUGCUAAUUAGAGCACUUCAGGAGCACCGACUCAUGUGCGAAUGUGUAGCUGGCUUCAGAAUAGACAGUACUCUGGCAAUACCUAUGCAAUUGAGCAACAAGUUCAGAAAAGGAGAAGCAACCAGGAAUCAUUCGCACGAAGAGUACUGAAUAAAAAUAAGAAUUGCACUGAUCUAAAAUUAGUUUUAAACUGAGGGUGUCACUUUGGUGUGUGAUCAUUUCUUGUGAACAUUCAAUUAAACAUGUUUGGUGUCACUUGAUGCAAGAAGGUGGUGUCAAUCAAACAAUAGCUUUAUUUGGCAACAAAGAAACAUCAAGAAGGAUAUUUCAUUUCUUGUAAGCAAAUCAACAAAAACCUUAUUUCACAACAAGUAGAGAUGAAGUAGCAUCACCAGUACAUAUAGGAGACUUGUCGUGGAAUUGUCACGGCAGAUGUCCUUGAGCUAGGACUUAGUCGUGGAGCCAUCGCAGCUAGGAAGCUUGAAGGGGUUAAUGCGGGACAAGGAACACGAGGGUUUAUACUGGUUCGGCCCCUUACGGUGAAGGUAAAAGCCUACGUCCAGUUUGAGGUGGUAUUGAUUAGGGUUACGAUCACCAGGGAGCUAAACUGCUAUGCCCGGCUUUCGAUGAAAUUGUUCUCUGCCUUAAACCGCUGCCGGGUCCUCCCUUUAUAUAGGGAGGCUGACGCCCUGCAGCUCUCAGAGUCCCGGCCGGCUCAUAAGAGUGUCCGGCUCGGACUCUCAACUAUUCUUGCCUUACACUACAAGUUCUAACAUAGUAAGAUUGUAACUACGGGCCUUAAGCCAUAUCCGGAUCUUAAACCCAUCUUUGGCCCAUCGUCUUUAAGCUUGGCGCCGGGCUUCUGGCAAUGACCAUAUGAGUAACCCGGCCCUUUCUGGCGGGUGACUCUAAGGUCUAUAUCCUCAACAAGACUCAUAGGCGAACUCUUAAUAUACAAGCAAAAUAGGACACUAGCUUUGUUUCCACACUUGUAAAAGCAUCACCAAUGCAACCAACAGCAGUACAGAAUCAGUCAUUACACGAGUUCGAUAAUGCCACAACAUGAAAAUAGGAAUGGGGAAGGCCAGACCUUGUCGUUGUGUCAUUGAACGGCCUCGGCUAUCGGCCGUGAACGGACUGUGGCGCCGGCGGUGAACACCACAUUGGAAGAAUGCUCAUGGGUGCGCCUGCCUCUACUCAUGAGCGCCUGCAUCAAUGUGGGUUCAACAUUCUGAACUACUGCAACACUAGCCACCCGCAUCAGAAUAACCUUUUGGUGCAAAACUAUUGUACAAUAAAAACACUCGGUUUUAUUUUGCACACACACACAUAGUACUGUCAUAUGUGUUUUUCACAAACUGAUGAUAGUUCACAUACUAAACUGGCACACCUAGUUUGUGUUUCAGGAAAUAAAAUAGAUGACCUCGAGGCGAGUUUAUGAGGGAGGGUCCAGAGCCUCAGUAUGAUCCGGACCAUGGCUGGAGCUGCGAAUGGUAGUGAAGCUCCACAUCCUCCGUCAUCGGUGAGCUCCGACCAUUGAUCACACGACGGAGCAAGCCAUGUACUGAUGAGAAUUCACAUAUUGAACUGGCACAGCUAGUUUGUGUUUCAGGAAAUAAAAUAGAUGAUAGUUCAUUAUGAUGAUGAUAUUUCAGCAUUUCUCCCCAUGGCAGAAAAUCGCCUGAAUCUUAAAAAGGACUGGAAAUCACAAAAUAAAAUGCAUUCAAGUAGCAAAAUUAGGAAGGGAUCAGAUAACACAUUUUAAUUUGAGCAACUUCUUAGUGGGACAUCACUUACAAUUGCAGCGCUGGUUAACAAUUGUUAGACAUAUUGAUUGCUCAAAUAUAACGUAGGACUGAGAAUUCGUGUUUGUUCAGCAUGAAUUUUGAGAACUAAUUAAUCCCUAGAGGCUGGAUGAUCUUCUAUAGGGGUGAUUACUUGUUCUAUGAUCUCUGUCUUGAUGAGAUGUAAAGACUAGGUUCAGUUCCAAAAAAGUUAUUUAGCUUUCACGAUGGUUUACCGCCCUUUGCUGUGCAUUUCCAAGAUCAAAUGAAGUGUCAAAUGACCUGUUUUCACAAGUGUUGAUGUGGCUGUUGUAUUUCCCAUUAAGUACGACGAGCUGACUGAAGAACAUUUCUGUACUACUGUAUUCAACUUUGAAGCUAAAUGAAAAUUGGUACAUAGAUUAUGACAGUAUGUUACGCUCAAAUUACAGCAAGAUAAUCAGAUGAAAAUACACUUUUGGAUCUGAUAAUAAAUACGAGCAAUUUGGUGUUGUUCUGCCUGUCAUUACAACUACCAUUUUUACAAGCAAACCAAAAUCAUGUGGUCCUAUGGUUUGAUAUUUAACAUGCAGGUUGGCUUGUACACGCUGAGAUGAGUUAUCUAAUAGAUCAUUGCAGCACAUGCUGAGACUUCAAUAUCCAACCAUCAAGCCUGAGCAUUAUCAUGUGCAUUGACUUGUACUACAAUAUCAUGUAAUAGUACAUUUUCAUCAACUCGAUAUUCAUCGGUACUAGUAUGCGUGGACAAUAAGUUCAGAUUUGUAGCAGCACACGCACGAAACUUGCAGAUUUUUUCACUGGACUUGCAGAACUUUGAAACUUGAACUUGACAAAACCGGCGAUCCCUCCCUUGAGCUAGCUGUAUCCUGGCCGCGACCACCACCUGGAUCCAGUACGAGGUGACCACCCGAAGCUGCUCAGGCUACCCGGCGGUGGGGAUCCAGCGGGGGCCUGUUCUGUGGCGAGCAUGGUGGCUUGUUGGCCUGGGCGGCCUACGCGCUUGAUGGUGGUAUACGGUAGGCGGAGCGCGGUGGAGGGAGUGAAGGGAGGGCCGGACAAGGAGAAGGAACGCGGACGGACAGGAGAAGGGUCGCGGACGGAGGGAGGCGGGUGGAUGGACGCGACCAGCAUCCGGUGGACGGAGUUGCCGGUGCUGGGAGGGGUGUGUGGAGGGAUCUGCAUCACCGGUCAUGGUGCGCGUCGUCGGGAGGAACGGCGAGGGGCGUCGCCGUGGAGUGGGGGGUGCGACGCGUCACCAGAGUAGGCGUCGCGCGUUGCCGGGACUUGGGGGAGGCGCGUGGCCAGGAGGUGGGGGAGGCGCGGCGCGUGGACGGGAGGUGGAAGGGGGCGGCACGUCGGCGGGAGGUGGAAGGGGCGGCGCGUCGGCGGGAGGUGGAAGGGGCGGCGCGUCGGCGGGAGCUAGAAGGGGCGGCGCGUCGGCGGAGCUGGAGGGCGCGGCGAUGGGGCAGGGUGUGGCAGGGCGGCGAGGUAAGGGGUGGCGGCGCGCUGGAGGAUUUGGGAUCGGGAGGGAGGUGGGUGGGUUCGGGAAUGGUCGGUCAUGUGUACUGGUUCGGGCCGGUGGGCUGGAUUCGGGACAUCGAGUCGCGCGUCGCUCUUAUAGGGGCGAGGGGUAACAGAAUAAUAUUCUGUUAAUAGUCUAGCCAUAUAUAUAUAUAUGAUAAAAUCAAGUAUGCAAUUAAGGUUCAGCUGCUGGAUCAAAAGUUGAGAUAACUGAAGGAAAUAUGCCCUAGAGGCAAUAAUAAAGUUGUUAUUUAUAUUUUCUUAUAUCAUGAUAAAUGUUUAUUAUUCGUGAUAGAGUUGUAUUAACCGGAAACUUGAUACAUGUGUGAAUACAUAGACAAACAAAGUGCCCUAGUAAGCCUCUACUAGACGAGCUCGUUAAUCAAAGAUGGUUAAGUUUCCUAACCAUAGACAUGUGUUGUCAUUUGACGAACGGGAUCACAUCAUUAGGAGAAUGAUGUGAUGGACAAGACCCAUCCAUUAGCUUAGCAUAAUUGUAUACAUAUUUCUUUAACUAUGAGAUUAUGCAACUCCCGGAUACCGGAGGAAUACCUUGUGUGCUAUCAAACGUCACAAUGUAACUGAGUGAUUAUAAAGAUGCUCUACAGGUAUCUUCGAAGGUGUUUGUUGGGUUGGCAUAGAUCAAGAUUAGGAUUUGUCACUCCGAGUAUCGUAGAGGUAUCACUGGGCCCUCUCGGUAAUGCACAUCAUAAUAAGCCUUGCAAGCAAUGUGACUAAUGAGUUAGUUAUGGGAUGAUGUAUUACAGAACAAGUAAAGAGACUUGCCGGUAACGAGAUUGAACUAGGUAUGAAGAUACCGACGGUCGAAUCUCGGGCAAGUAACAUACCGAUGACAAAGGGAAUAACUUAUGUUGUCAUUGCGGUACGAUCGGUAAAGAUCUUCAUAGAAUAUGUAGGAACCAAUAUGAGCAUCCAGGUUCCGCUGUUGUUUAUUGACCGGAGAGGUGUCUCAGUCAUGUUUACAUAGUUCUCGAACCCGUAGGAUCCGCACGCUUAACGUUCGAUGACGAUUUUGUAUUAUAUGAGUUAUGUGAUUUGGUGACCGAAUGUUUUUCAGAGUCCCGGAUGAGACCACGGACAUGACGAGGAGUCUCUAAAUGGUCGAGAGGUAAAUAUUCAUAUAUAGGAUGAUGAUAUUCGGACACCGGAAGUGUUCCGUGGGUACCGGGUACAUAUCGGGUCACCGAAAAGGGGUUCCGGGCACCCCCGGCAAAGAUAUGGGCCUUAUGGGCCAAGAGAGAGAUAGACCAGCCCCUGGUGGGCUGGAGCGCCCCCAUAUAGGCCGAAAUAGGAGGAGAAGGAAGGAGGGGAAGGGAGAAGGAAAGGGGAGGAUUCGGCCACCCCCUUUCCUUCUCUGCCCCUCUCUUUCCUCCCCACUCCAACACUUAUGGAAGGGGGGAGGCCGACUUGAGGGAGGCGCCCAAGUAGGAUUACUCCUACUUGGGGCGCCCCUUGCUAACCCUCUCCCUCUGCCACCUAUAUAUAUGUGGGGGCACCGCUAGAAUACACAACAUUAAUUCCUAGCCAUGUGCGGUGCCCCACUCCACAGUUUACGCCUCCGGUCAUAUUCACAUAGUGCUUAGGCGAAGUCCUGCGUGGAUCAAUUCACCAUCACCGUCAUCACGCCGUCAUGCUGAAGGAACUCUCCCUCGACACUUUGCUGGAUCAAUAGUUCGAGGGACAUCAUCGAACUGAACGUGUGCAGAACUCGGAGGUGCCGUACGUUCGGUGCUUGAUCGGUCGGAACGAGAAGAAGUUCGACUACAUCAACCGCGUUGUCAAACGCUUCCGCUUUCGGUAUACGAGGGUACGUGGACACACUCUCCCCCUCUCGUUGCUAUUCUUCUCCUAGAUAGAUCUUGCGUGAGCGUAGAAUUUUUUUGAAAUUACAUGCUACGUUUCCCAACGGUGGCAUCCGAGCCAGGUCUAUGCGUAGAUGAUACGCACGAGUAGAACACAAAGAGUUCUAGGCAGUGAUAGUCAUACUGCUUACCACCAACAUCUUAUUUUGAUUCGGCGGUAUUGUUGGAUGAAGCGUCCCGGACCAACCUUACAUGACCACGUUCAUGAGACCGGUUCCACCGACAGACAUGCAACUAGUUUUGCAUAAAGGUGGCUGGCGGGUGUCUGUUUCUCCAACUUUAGUUGAAUUGAAUUUGACUGUGGCCGGUCCUUGUUGAAGGUAAAAACAACAAACUUGAUAAAUCACCGUUGUGGUUUUGAUGCGUAGGUAAGAACGGUUCUUGCUAGAAGCCCAUAGCAGCCACAUAAAACUUGCAACAACAAACUAGAGGAUGUCUAACUUGUUUUUGCAGGGCAUGUUGUGAUGUGAUAUGGUCAAGACAUGAUGUGAUAUACGUUGUUGUAUGAGAUGAUCAUGUUUCGUAAAAGUUAUUUGCAACUGGCAGGAGCCUUAUGGUUGUCGCUUUAUUGUAUGAAAUGCAAACGCCAUGUAAUUGCUUUACUUUACCACUAUGCGUUAGCGAUAGUUGUAGAAGCAAUAGUUGCCGAGAUGACCACGACGCUACGAUGGAGAUCAAGGUGUCAAGCCGGUGACGAUGGAGAUCAUGACGGUGCUUUGGAGAUGGAGAUCAAAGGCACAAGAUGAUGAUGGCCAUAUCAUGUCACAUGUUUUGAUUGCAUGUGAUGUUUAUCUUUUAUGCAUCUUAUUUUGCUUAGUACGGCGGUAGCAUUAUAAGAUUCUCCCUUACUAAAAUUUCAAGGUAUAAGUGUUCUCCCUGAGUAUGCACUGUUGCGACAGUUCGUCGUGCUGAGACACCACGUGAUGAUCGGGUGUGAUAGGCUCAACGUUCACAUACAACGGGUGCAAGACAGUUUUGCACAUGCGGAAUACUCGGGUUAAACUUGACGAGCCUAGCAUGUAUAGACAUGGCCUCGGAACAAUGGAGACCGAAAGGUCGAACGUGAAUCAUAUAGUAGAUAUGAUCAACAUAGAGAUGUUCACCAUUGAAAACUACUCCAUCUACAUGAUGAUCGGACAUGGUUUAGAUGAUUUGGAUCACGUGAUCAUUUAGAUAUCUCGAGGGAUGUCUAUCUAAGUGGGAGUUCUUAAGUAAUAUGAUUAAUUGAACUUAAUUUAUCAUGAACUUAGACCUGAUAGUUUUUGCAUAUCUAUGUUGUAGAUCAAUGGCCCAUGCUUCCAUUCCCUUGAAUUUUAAUGUGUUCCUAGAUAAAUCUAAGUUGAAAGAUGAUGGUAGAAACUACACGGACUGGGUCCGUAACUUGAGGAUUAUCCUCGUUGCUGCAUAGAAGAAUUAUGUCCUUGAUGCACCGCUAGUUGAAAGGCCUGCUGCAGGAGCAGAUGCUGAUGUUAUGAAUGUCUGGCAAGCUUGAUCUGAUGACUACUCGAUAGUUCAGUGUGCCAUUCUUUACGGCUUAGAAUCGGGACUUCAAAGACAUUUUGAACGCCAUGGACCAUAUGAGAUGUUCCAAGUGUUGAAGUUAAUAUUUCAAGCAAAUGCCCGAGUUGAGAGAUAUGAAGUCUCCAACAAGUUCUAUAGCUGCAAGAUGGAGGAGAGCUAUUCUGUCAGUGAACACAUAGUCAAAAUGUCUGGGUAUCAUAAACACUUGACUCAGCUGGGAGUUAAUCUUCCAGAUGAUAGUGUUAUUGAUAGAGUUCUUCAAUCACUACCACCGAGCUAUAAAGGCUGCAUGAUGAACUAUAAUAUGCAAGGGAUGGAGAAGACUAUUCCCGAGCUCUUCGCUAUGCUCAAAGCUGCGGAGGUAGAAAUCAAUAAGGAGCAUCAAGUGUUGAUGGUUAACAAGACCACUAGUUUCAAUAAAAAGGGCAAAGCAAAGAAGGGGAACUUCAAGAAGAAUGGCAAGCAAGUUGCCACUCUCGGGAAGAAGCCCAAAUCUGGACCUAAGCCUGAAACUGAGUGCUUCUACUACAAAGGGACUGGUCACUGAAGCGGAACUAUCCCAAGUAUUUGGCGGAUAAGAAGGAUGGCAAACUAAACAAAGGUAUAUUUGAUAUACAUGUUAUUGAUGUGUACCUUACUAAUGCUCGUAGUAGUGCCUGGGUAUUUGAUGCCGGUUCGGUUGCUCAUAUUUGUAACUCGAAACAGGGGCUACGGAUUAAACGAAGAUUGGCUAAGGACGAGGUGACGACGCGUCGGGAAUGGUUCCAAGGUAGAUGUGAUCGCCGUCGGCACGCUACCUCUACAUCUACGUUCGGGAUUAGUUUUAGACCUGAAUAAUUGGUAUUUGGUGCCAGCGUUGAGCAUGAACAUUAUAUCUAGAUCUUGUUUAAUGCGAGACUGUUAUUCAUUUAAAUCGGAGAAUAAUGGUUGUUCUAUUUAUAUGAAUAAUAUCUUUUAUGGUCAUGCACCCUUGAAGAGUAGUUUAUUUUUGUUGAAUCUCGAUCGUGGUGAUACACAUAUUCAUAAUAUUGAUGCCAAAAGAUGCAAAGUUGAUAAUGAUAGUGCAACAUAUUUGUGGCACUGCCGUUUAGGUCAUAUUGGUGUAAAGCGCAUGAAGAAACUCCAUGCGGAUGGACUUUUGGAAUCACUUGAUUAUGAAUCGUUUGAUGCUUGUGAACCAUGCCUCAUGGGCAAGAUGACUAAAACUCCAUUCUCCGGAAUGACGGAGCGAGCUACUGACUUAUUGGAAAUAAUACAUACCGAUGUAUGCGGUCCAAUGAGUGUUGAGGCUCGCAGCGGGUAUCGUUAUUUUCUGACCUUCACAGAUGAUUUGAGCAGAUAUGGGUAUAUCUACUUAAUUAAACACGAGUCUGAACCAUUUGAAAAGUUCAAAGAAUUUCAGAGUGAAGUGGAGAAUCAUCGUAACAAGAAAUAAAGUUUCUACGAUCUGAUCGCGGAGGCGAAUAUCUGAGUUAUGAGUUUGACCUUCAUUUGAAACAAUGUGGAAUAGUUUCACAACUCACGCCACCUGGAACACCACAGUGUAAUGGUGUGUCCGAACGUCGUAACCGUACUUUAUUAGAUAUGGUGCGAUCUAUGAUGUCUCUUACCAAUUUACCACAAUCGUUUUGGGGUUAUGCAUUAGAGACAACUGCAUUCACUUUAAAUAGGGCACCGUCUAAAUCCGUUGAGACGACACCGUAUGAACUGUGGGUUGGCAAGAAACCUAAGCUGUCGUUUCUUAAAGUUUGGGGUUGCGAUGCUUAUGUGAAAAAGCUUCAACCUGAUAAGCUCGAACCCAAAUCGGAGAAGUGCGUCUUCAUAGGAUACCCAAAAGAAACUGUUGGGUACACCUUCUAUCACAGAUCUGAAGGCAAGAUCUUUGUUGCUAAGAAUGGAUCCUUUAUAGAGAAGGAUUUUCUCUCAAAGAAGUGAGUGGGAGGAAAGUAGAACUUGAUGAGGUAACUGUACCUUCUCUCGAAUUGGAAACUAGCUCAUCACAGAAAACCGUUCCUGUGAUGCCUACACCAACUAGAGAUGAAGCUAAUGAUAAUGAUCAUGAAACUUCAGAUCAAGUUACUACUGAACCUCGUAGGUCAACCAGAGCACGUUCCGAACCAGAGUGGUACGGUAAUUCUGUUCUAGAAGUCAUGUUACUAGACCGUGAGGAACGUACAAACUAUGAGGAAGCGAUGAUGAGCCCAGAUUCCGAUAAAUGGCUUGAGGCCAUGAAAUCUGAGAUAGGAUCCAUGUAUGAGAAAAAAGUGUGGACUUUGGUUGACUUGCCUGAUGAUCGGCAAGCCAUAGAGAAUAAAUGGAUCUUCAAGAAGAAGACUGACGCUGAUGGUAAUGUUACUGUCUACAAAGCUCGACUUGUCGCAAAAGGUUUUUGACAAGUUCAAGGUGUUGACUACGAUGAGAUUCUCUCACUCGUAGCGAUGCUUAAGUCCGUCUGAAUCAUGUUGGCAAUUGCCACAUUUUAUGAAAUCUGGCAAAUGGAUGUCAAAACUGCAUUCCUUAAUGGAUUUCUUAAAGAAGAGUUGUAUAUGAUACAACCAGAAGGUUUUUUUGAUCCUAAAGGUGCUAACAAAGUGUGCAAGCUCCAGCGAUCCAUCUAUGGGCUGGUGCAAGCAUCUCAAAGCUGGAAUAUACGCUUUGAUGAGGUGAUCAAAGCAUAUGGUUUUAUAUAGACUUUCGGAGAAGCCUGUAUUUACAAGAAAGUGAGUGGGAGCUCUAUACCAUUUCUAAUAUUACAUGUGGAUGACAUAUUGUUGAUUGGAAAUAAUGUAGAAUUUCUGGGUAGCAUAAAAGGAUACUUGAAUAAAAGUUUUUCAAUGAAAGACCUCGGUGAAGCUGCUUAUAUAUUGGGCAUCAAUAUCUAUAGAGAUAGAUCAAGAUGCUUAAUUGGACUUUCACAAAGCACAUACCUUGAUAAAGUUUUGAAGAAGUUCAAAAUGAAUCAGUCAAAGAACGGGUUCUUGCCCGUGUUACAAGGUGUGAAGUUGAGUCAGACUCAAUGCCCGACCACUGCAGAAGAUAUAGAGAAAAUGAAAGUCAUUCCCUAUGCCUCAGCCAUAGGUUCUAUCAUGUAUGCUAUGCUAUGUACCAGACCUGAUGUGUGCCUUGCUAUAAGUUUAGUAGGGAGGUACCAAAGUAAUCCAGGAGUGGAUCACUGGACAGCGGUCAAGAACAUCCUGAAGUACCUGAAAGGACUAAGGAUAUGUUUCUCGUUUAUGGAGGAGACAAAGAGCUCGUCGUAAAUGGUUACAUCGAUGCUAGCUUUGACACUGAUCUGGAUGACUCUAAGUCACAAACCAAAUACGUGUUUAUAUUGAAUGGUGGAGCUGUCAGUUGGUGCAGUUCCAAGCAAAGCAUAGUGGCGGAUCUACGUGUGAAGCGGAGUACAUAGCUGCUUCGGAAGCAGCGAAUGAAGGAGUCUGGAUGAAGGAGUUCAUAUCCGAUCUAGGUGUAAUACCUAGUGCAUCGGGUCCAAUGAAAAUAUUUUGUGACAAUACUGGAGCAAUUACCUUGGCGAAGGAAUCUAGAUUUCACAAAAGAACCAAACACAUCAAGAGACGCUUCAACUCCAUCAGUGAUCAAGUCAAGGAGGGAUACAUAGAGAUUUACAAAAUACAUAC